RNAcentral lists this ribosomal RNA (406 nucleotides) under uncultured bacterium. Its description in RNAcentral is "partial 16S ribosomal RNA". It matches the Rfam family "Bacterial small subunit ribosomal RNA", at positions 30 to 526 of the family's 1533-position model. The record is from RNAcentral.
AUUGAACGCUGGCGGCAGGCCUAACACAUGCAAGUCGAGCGAGCGGCGGACGGGUGAGUAAUGUCUGGGAAACUGCCUGAUGGAGGGGGCUAACUACUGGAAACGGUAGCUAAUACCGCAUACCAUUCGACGUGCCCAGUUUGGACUAGCUAGUAGGUGGGGUAACGGCCAACCUAGGCGACGAUCCCUAGCUGGUCUGAGAGGAUGACCAGCCACACUGGAACUGAGACACGGUCCAGAAUCCUACGGGAGGCAGCAGUGGGGAAUAUUGCACAAUGGGCGCAAGCCUGAUGCAGCCAUGCCGCGGGUGUGAAGAAGGCCUUCGGGUUGUAAAGCACUUUCAGCGGGGAGGCGUUACCCACAGAAGAAGCACCGGCUAACUCCGUGCCAGCAGCCGCGGUAAUAC